This 72-nucleotide transfer RNA is filed under the name Cavia porcellus (domestic guinea pig). It matches the Rfam family "tRNA". Rfam says of the family: Transfer RNA (tRNA) molecules are approximately 80 nucleotides in length. Their secondary structure includes four short double-helical elements and three loops (D, anti-codon, and T loops). Further hydrogen bonds mediate the characteristic L-shaped molecular structure. tRNAs have two regions of fundamental functional importance: the anti-codon, which is responsible for specific mRNA codon recognition, and the 3' end, to which the tRNAs corresponding amino acid is attached (by aminoacyl-tRNA synthetases). tRNAs cope with the degeneracy of the genetic code in two manners: having more than one tRNA (with a specific anti-codon) for a particular amino acid; and 'wobble' base-pairing, i.e. permitting non-standard base-pairing at the 3rd anti-codon position. Lineage: Eukaryota; Metazoa; Chordata; Mammalia; Rodentia; Caviidae. The record is from Rfam by way of RNAcentral.
AGGGAUAUGGCUUAGUGGCACAGUGCCUGCCUCACAAGUGCAAGGUCCUGAGUUCAAUUCCCAGUACCUCCA